This 486-nucleotide ribosomal RNA is filed under the name uncultured bacterium. Its description in RNAcentral is "bacterial SSU rRNA". It matches the Rfam family "Bacterial small subunit ribosomal RNA", at positions 28 to 507 of the family's 1533-position model. The record is from RNAcentral.
GAUGAACGCUAGCGGGAGGCCUAACACAUGCAAGCCGAGCGGUAUUGUUUCUUCGGAAAUGAGAGAGCGGCGUACGGGUGCGGAACACGUGUGCAACCUGCCUUUUAUCUGGGGGAUAGCCUUUCGAAAGGAAGAUUUAAUACUCCAUAACAUAUUGAACGGCAUCGUUUGAUAUUGAAAGCUCCGGCGGAUAGAGAUGGGCACGCGCAAGAUUAGCUAGUUGGUGAGGUAACGGCUCACCAAGGCGAUGAUCUUUAGGGGGCCUGAGAGGGUGAUCCCCCACACUGGUACUGAGACACGGCCCAGACUCCUACGGGAGGCAGCAGUGGGGAAUUUUGGACAAUGGGCGCAAGCCUGAUCCAGCAAUGCCGCGUGCAGGAAGAAGGCCUUCGGGUUGUAAACUGCUUUUGUACGGAGCGAAAAGGUCUUUCCUAAUACGGGAGGCUGAUGACGGUACCGUAAGAAUAAGCACCGGCUAACUACGUG